GAGAACGUGGUGUAACUGGAUAACACAUCGGUCUACGAAACCGAAGAGUGGGGGUUUCUCCUUCGGAGACGCUGACGCGAACGAAACCCUCCGUUCUCGCCA
Molecule: transfer RNA, 102 nt
Filed under: Nodosilinea sp. LEGE 07088
Lineage: Bacteria; Bacillati; Cyanobacteriota; Cyanophyceae; Nodosilineales; Nodosilineaceae
Description: tRNA-Arg
Rfam family: tRNA
About the family: Transfer RNA (tRNA) molecules are approximately 80 nucleotides in length.
Source: RNAcentral